This 313-nucleotide unclassified non-coding RNA is filed under the name Hevea brasiliensis (rubber tree). The record is from RNAcentral. Lineage: Eukaryota; Viridiplantae; Streptophyta; Magnoliopsida; Malpighiales; Euphorbiaceae.
GUUUUUUUUUUUUUUUUUUUCGUUGUAUUGGAGGAGUCUUAAUUUGGAACUGUAUAGGAUUUUUAUCAAACUGUGAUAUGUUAGUUUGAGUGGUGUGGCUGUGUAUCACUGUGCUUUCUUAUUGUUUGGUUCUCUGAAGUUCAUCUCACAAUUUUUUUUUUGUCUACGUGUUAGAAUUGUUAUUUUGAUCUUUGUUGUUAAUUUCGGUUAUUUGCCAAUCAUGACUUGUUUCUUAAAUAUUACUGUUGUUGGGACGUGGCCAGUCAAUGGUUAGCCUAUCAUGUAAGAUCUUGCGUAACUCUGUGCCCACGCG